This 58-nucleotide transfer RNA is filed under the name Steinernema litorale. Its description in RNAcentral is "tRNA-His". The record is from RNAcentral. Lineage: Eukaryota; Metazoa; Nematoda; Chromadorea; Rhabditida; Steinernematidae.
AGCUUUUUAGUUUAAGUAAAAAAAAUAUCUGCUUGUGGUGCAGAAGAAAGUAGGGCUU